UAAUUAUCCACAACAGGCUGAUCCACAACCAGUAGCUCAAUGCAAUUUAUUGAAUCCUGGCAAGCUCCCCUCUGCCUUCCCCUGCUAAAUCCAGAUGGGUCACCAAAAAAGCUUUUUAAAGCCCUGAAGACCCCCAAUGGAGUGGACGGAGAAACACGACGGAAUUCUCUGCAGAGAAAUACUCGUCACAGAGCCGUUCAUAUUCAAGAAAGGGAGUGUUGACAAGGAAAAGGUGCACACGCAGUGGGUAUGCAGGGUCCCCGUUCACACACAUCCGCUGGCCACCUGGGGAAACUGCGUGCUCUUCCAGAACAGGUGAACUUGUCAGGAAUCCCAAGAACAUCUGCCAGCACUUUCUGCCAUCUGCCACGCGUUUUCUUACGCGAAACUCGGCAAGACACUCAUCGUCCUCCAUGUCAUCCAGAUCGAAACGCGAGUACAUUUUGCAUGGUAAAUCUAAGUUGAUAGAUUUGUUUGCGUAAUACAACAAUAAAAUCCCCUCUUCUGAAACUAAGAGAUCAUCGAAAGCAUAAAGCAACUCCUCUCUGGCCCUUUUAAAUGACAUUUUGAAUUUACAGCAGAAUUACAGGGUAAUAACAUUAUUGUGUUUAUAUUCCGCCACCCACUGUCAAUUUUGAUGCGUUGCUAUAGUGACCGGUCAGCUGUUCGAAGCACCUUGCUUAGUGACUGCUAUGGAUUUGACGGCUACGGUGACAGAUCUAUUUCCGGUCACCGUAGCCAUCCCAAAAUCCAUUGUUGCUUACAUUACAUUACAUUACAUUACAUUACAUUACAGGCAUUUAGCAGACGCUCUUAUCCAGAGCGACGUACAACAAGUGCAUCAGUUCAAGGUGCAGAGGUGCAAAAAAAGCACUCUAGAGUGAAGUAAAGAUCGUAGUGCCAGAAGUGACCACAUAGAUCAGGACUCCAACCCUGUAGGGUAACCUGUUCAGCAAACAAACAAACAAUCCUGCCAAGUACAAACUAGCACUGAAAUCACAUUUGCCUAAUCAGAAUCAGACAAAAACAAUCCUGCCAAAUAAAAACUAACGUGAUCGCAUUAGCCUAACUAGGUACAUUGAGCUAAACUGGAGGCUAGGGAGGGGUGAGGAGUGGUGCAGCCUGAAGAGAUGAGUCUUUAGUCUGCGUUUGAAGGUAGUCUGAUUCUCUGCUGUUCUGACCGCUACGGGAAGGUCAUUCCACCAGCGAGGGGCCAGGACAGACAGCAGACGCGAGCGGGAAGUACAGACACGAAGAGGGGGAGGUGCCAAGCGUCCAGAGGUGGCAGAACGAAGAGGUCUGGCUGGUGUGUAGGGUCUGAUGAUCCUCUGGAUGUAUCCUGGUGCUGACCCCUUAGCUGCCUGGUAUGCAAGCACCAAAGUCUUAAAUUUUAUGUGAGCCAUAACAGGCAGCCAGUGGAGGUCAGUGAGCAGGGGGGUGACAUGGGAAUGUCUGGGGAGGUUGUAGACCAGACGCGCUGCAGCAUUCUGGAUGAGCUGCAGGGGUCUGAUGGCGGAUGCUGGCAGACCAGCCAGCAGCGAGUUGCAGUAGUCCAGGGGGGACAGGACCAUCGCUUGAACCAGGUGCUGGGUUGCGUAGGUGGCGAGGAAGGGGCGGAUUCUCCGGAUGUUGUACAGGAAGAACCUGCACGUUCGACUCACCGCUGCAAUGUUCUGGGAGAGGGACAGUCUGUUGUCCAUCACCACUCUGAGGUUUUUUGCAGUGGGUGAUGAUGACACCACGGUGUCCCCUAGGGAGAUAGAAAGGAAAAAGAGGUUAGAGGAUGGAGCAGGGAUGAAGAUCAUCUCUGUCUUACCUGGGUUCAGCUUAAGAUGAUGGUUAUCCAUCCAGCUCUGGAUGUCCCUCAGGCAAGCAGAGAUGCGAGCGGAGACCUGUGUGUCAGAGGGGGGGAAGGAGAGAAAGAGUUGGGUGUCAUCGGCAUAACAAUGAUAAGACAAACCAUGGGCAGAGAUUACAGGACCAAGAGAUUGGGUGUACAGGGAGAAUAGGAGGGGACCAAGGACUGAGCCCUGGGGAACUCCUGUGGCAAGGGGGCGAGGUGCCGAUACUGCACCAGCCCAGGCGACUUGGAAGGAGCGACCGGAGAGGUAGGACUCGAUCCAGUCUAGUGCUGUGCCACAGAUCCCCAUAGCUGCCAGGGAGGACAGGAGGAUGGGGUGGUCGUCUGUGUCGAAGGCAGCAGAAAGGUCUAGGAGGAUCAGGACAGACGAAUGGGAGGCUGCUUGUGCGGUGUGAAGUGACUCACUGACCGAGAGGAGUGCUCUGUCGAGUGGCCAGAUCUGAAGCCGGACUGGUGGGGGUCUAGGAGGUUGUUCAGCAAAAGAAAAGAGGAGAGUUGGUUAGAAGCAGCUCAUUCAAUUGUUUUGGAUAAAAAAGGGAGAAGGGAAACAGGACAGUAGUUCUGGAUGACGGAGGGAUCCAGAGUGCGCUUUUUCAGCAGUGGGGUGAUGUGGACCAGCUUGAAGGAAGAGGGGAAUGAGAGGCAUCAAUUGUAAAGCGCUUUGGAUAAAGCGCAAUUGUAAAGCGCAGGAUUGAUAGUGCUGCACAAGCAAUCAACAUUUUGUCUAUUGUGCAAAGACUGUUAUCGUUCAUCCGUUUGACCAUACUGACUGGCAGCGCAGGGUGUUCCGCAGAAUUCUGAAUGACUUCAGUUUUCCUAUGGGCCUUUCCACAUGGAUUCUCACUCGUGAUAUUUUUCUGUGUCACCUCUAAUCCUGUCAGUUGUUUUCUUGCCUGUGAAGAUGCUGAUGGUACAUGGAGACGGAUACAUUUGGUGGCAAAGUAUUCAGGAAAAUUGAAGCCCCUAUCAGCCAUUACAUGGUCUCCUUGUUCAAGAAGGUCAAUCAACCCGGAAUUCUUUAUUAUAACCUUGUCACUAGCACGACCACCCCAGACUCUUGAUAAAAAUGUAAUAGCUCCUGUUGGACUAAUGCCAACAAGGAACUUCACAGUAUUAUGUGACUUGUAGUGGGAGUAGGUGAUUGCUCGUGUUUGCAAACUAGUUGGCCUCUCAAUGAACACUUCAGUACAGUCUAUUAUACAUCUGACAUGUUGGUAACCUGUAGUCUUGAAUAGGGUGGGGGGAUUUCUUCUGAUAUCUUUUCUGGAUGGCCACCGGACAAGGCAUUGCAACUCUUUACCCAUCACCUCGAGCCAUUCAUGGAAGAUGUUCGAGACAGUUCCACAACUCACUCUGAAGCGAAAAGCUAGGUCUUGAUGAGUUAAGCUCAGACGAAGCUUCAACAGGACCACAAGAAACUGCUCGGGAAGGGUAAGUAUGGUUGAUGAUGCAUUCCAUGUUGUUGUCAGGGAAGUGAGGAGGGUGAAAAACACAGAGGCAGAUGGUAGACCAGUGCAAAAAUGAGUGUGCUUGUCAUCAUUUAAAAUAAAAUUGGACAGACUGGCAAACAUAUGAUCUUAUAGGCGUUUUUCUUGAGAUUCCAGUUUCUUCUCCAGUAAAGCCACUUUUCUCUACAAUUCACUGUUUUCAUUUUGUAGCUGGUCAAUGUCUGCCAUUGAGAGAUCUUUACCCACAGCAGUGCAUCCUUCUUCAGGGUCAGUAUGGGUGACCUCUAUGGAAGAUGGAUAUACAAUUUUUUUCUCAGCAAGACAGCCAGGUUCAGCACAAAGAGUGAGCGAGGAGGAUAGAGAAGGAAAGAGAGCAUGAUGGAGUCGGCACAGAGAGAGAAAGAGAGAGAGCAAGAACCAGUGAGUGUCAUCAUGAGCAAGAGGAAGGGUGGCGGUGACAUUCGUCAGUUUUUUGGGCAGCCUCAGAAAAGAAGAAAAGUAAGUUGAGAGCAGUGAGAAAAUGAGUACCAGUCAGAUGAUAGAAGUAUACAGUUGUACAAGAGAUGAUGUUUCUUGAUAUAAUAAUCAUUGCCAUUCAGAUCAGAAAUGGUUAGUAAUCCAUUCCUGAACAUCAUGGCAGGAAACACCACUAGUUUACUGAUAAUAUUUCUUUCAUGUUCACUCUGGUGCGUUCAGAGUAAAGAGAGAGAGGGAGAGAGAGCAUGAUGAUGCCGACUGCACAGGGAGAGCAGGUGACAUGGAGAUAAUACACUCAAGCAGAGAGAGUGAGUUUGCAGGCGAGAGCAGACAGGCAGGGGAAGAUGAAGGUGCAGGAGAGGAAGGGGAGGAGUUUGGACCUUGCCCAACUCAGCCAAAUGUGAACGUCAUACCUAGUCAAACCCUAUUAAAUAGGACUCUCUACUUUCAGGAGAAAUGGUUUAAAGAUUAUACUUGGCUCCAUUACAGCCCCUCCUUAAAGGGGGUCCUCUGUUUCUAUUGUGCUAAAUACUUUGCAACACAAAAGUCUAAGCUUGUGUCAAAAGCAGAUUCAGUUUUUGUCAAGACUGGCUUUCAAAACUGGAAGAAGGCACUGGAGAAAUUUAGUGCGCAUAAAGACAUGCAGUGUCACAAAUUAGCUGUGAUGACUCGGAUUCAGGAGCCCAAGCCUGUUAAUAUGCAACUUUCACGUGAGCUUGAAAGACAGCAGCAACAAGCGAGGAGAAAUCUUAUGAAGAUUGUCGGGGCUGUGAAGUACUUGGCGUGGCAAGGUCUGGCUUUUCGAGGUGUUGAUAAGGAGAGUGGGAAUUUCAACCAGCUUCUGAAGUACAAGGCAGAGGGCGAUGCAUAGCUGACCAACUGGCUGAAAGGUCACGUUGAUUUCACCAGUCCCCAAAUGCAAAAUGAAAUUUUGAAAUUUUGGGCAAUACAAAUGUCAAAGAAAUUGUGUCAGAAAUAACAUCAACGCUAGUGGUCCAGUUUGCAUUUACCAUUGAUGGCACCCAGGAUAUAUCAGGAGUUGAGCAGGAGUCCAUAUGUUUGUGCUUUGUAGAUGCAGAUCUACAACCAAAGGAAGAAUUCCUGGGACUCUACGAAGUAUCAUCAACGACAGAGCAAAAUAUAGCCAAGAUGGCAUGUGAUGUGAUGAACAUAGGACAAGAGGAGAGGAGGAGAGUUGACUGGAGAGGAGAUGAGAAAACAGCAGAGGAGAGGAGAAGACAUGACUGGAGAGGAGAAUAUAGGACGAGAGGAGGAGAGAGGGCUGGAGAGGAGAAGAUAGGAUGAGAGGAGAAAAUGAGAGUAGAGCAGAGCAAACGCCCCUACUGCCCACCCAAGUUUAAUUGUAAAUAUGUAAAUAAAAACAACAAUUUGCUAAACCUUGGCCACAAUAUCUGGACUUGUCUUCAUAUAACAAUGCAUACAUUUCUGUUUAUAUGAUUAUGGUUAUGCUUGUACUUUAUUAAUCCCUAAUCUCUGCCAUUACAUACAAUGAAACAAGAAAAAGUAAAAAAGAAAAAACAGCAAUGUAAUACAAUACACUAUUAGACAAUAUUGCAAAAAUAAAAAGUUCAUCCCAUGUGUUAGUGAAUUUUUUAAUACUUUAGAAUGGCAGGAAAUUAGUUUUCAAAUUUUGAAUUUUUUCUAGGAGGGGGGACCCCCAGACCCCCCGCCAGAUUUGGUCCCUCCCAAUGUUGACUCCAUGGCUACGGCCUUGCUUCAUAGAAUGUAAUAGUGGCAGUAAAAAUGACUUUAGUAGUUCCAUAUUUAGAAAUUGAGCUGUUGCCUGUUGGUAACUUUAGGUGAUGUAGGUGAAAUGGGCAUUUUGUCAUCUACAUAUUAUUUUAUAUUAUUAAGGAGGGCAAAAUAUUUUCAAGUAGUGAUACUGGCCAGUGUUCAGGCAACAUUACAGUGUGUUGUUGUUUUUAGAUUUUUUUUUUUUUGCUGAGCUAUGAAGUGCUGCUUCAGUUUGUUUGUGCCCCCCAAAACUGCGCCCCCACUGUAGUAAUGAUGAAACAAAAUUAUUUUCCUUCCUGGGUUAAAUUACUUGAUUUAGUGUCAUUGACAAUCUGUUAUAACUUUACAUCUGUUUUUUUCUUUAUAGACACAGACUCUGCAACCAAUUGACAAGUUUUUUCUCUUCAUGAACCACUUAGCUCUUGGUUUGAAGCAGAAGGAUCUGGCCCACAGAUUUCAAAUACACCGGUCAACCGCGAGUCGCAUUACUGCAACAUGGGCCAACUACCUCUUCACCAUACUUGGGUCAGUGAAAAUCUGGUUGUCUGAGGAAGAGGUCAAGGCUAAAUUGCCAGAGGUGUUCAAGGAGUAUGCAGACACACACGUUGUGCUAGACUGCACAGAACUGCGCUGCCAAACACCAUCAUCUCUGCUCCUUCAAAGUGAAGUAUACUCCAUCUACAAAUCCCAAGGUAUCUUCAAAGGGAUGACUGGCAUGGCACCACAUGGAGCAGUCACCCUGUAUUUCAGCCCUGUAUGCUGGUUGUCUGUCCUGGCCCCACGAUGGUGGAAUGACCUCCCCGUGGAAGUCAGAACAGCUGAGACACUGACCCACUUCAAACAACAACUUAAGACUCACCUCUUCAGGCUGCACCUCUCCCCAUCCCUCCCUACCUCCCUGUGAUCUCUAAAUUAACUGUAAGCUUAGGGUUGUAACUAGGUAGCUGUUUCAUAGGUGACUUAGUUAAUGCACUCGUCUUAUCUACUGCUUGUAUUUUUGCGUAGACUGCAUUGUUGCUGUUCUCAUUUGUGUUAGUAUUAAUCUGUUUAUCCUUCAGGGUCCAAGUUGAACUAUGCGGUUGUUCCCUGCACUUGGAACGGUACUUCUCUCUAGGGUUUUCGACACACUUGUACCUGGUUAUGGUUAUACACAUUGUUGUACGUCGCUCUGGAUAAGAGCGUCUGCCAAAUGCCUGUAAUGUAAUGUAUGGUUCUGUCAGCGACAAGCAGAUUCUGAAAGAGUCUGGAAUUGUUCCUUUGCUGAAGCCGGGAAUGGCAAUAAUGGUGGACAAAGGUUUUCUUGUAAAUGACUGUGUGCCUUGUAAAGUCUACAGACCACCUUUCCUGUACAAGAGAACACAGAUGCCAGCAUUAGAUGUGAGGGAGACCAAAGCAAUUGCAAGGCUGAGAGUCCACGUUGAGCAACUGAUUCGCAGGUUGAAGAAGCACAAGCUGUUUCAUAGAGUUAUCCCCCUCUCCACCAUUGGGAACUUCAACCAGCUGCACACAGUUACAUGUCUCCUCCUCAACUACGAAAGUGGACCACUGGUCAAAGCUUCGGCAAAAUAGUCCUGAAAAUGCACGCACACACACACAGCCAUGCACAUACACACAAUCCAAUCAGUUUUUCUUAUCGAAACGUCACAGUGACAUUAGUAUUUUUAAUAAUGAUGCUGGAAACUAAUUUUCAAUUGUGUUCAUUUUCAAGUGAAAAUGCGUAGGUGGUAAAAAAAUAAAUAAAUAAAUGAAACAACCUGAAAACUU
Molecule: long non-coding RNA, 7305 nt
Organism: Anguilla rostrata (American eel)
Lineage: Eukaryota; Metazoa; Chordata; Actinopteri; Anguilliformes; Anguillidae
Exons: 8
Source: RefSeq, a predicted model, not a curated record